Neofelis nebulosa (Clouded leopard) is the source of this 1531-nucleotide long non-coding RNA. RefSeq lists it as uncharacterized. Lineage: Eukaryota; Metazoa; Chordata; Mammalia; Carnivora; Felidae. The transcript has 2 exons. The record is from RefSeq and is a predicted model, not a curated record.
UAGCCAGACGGGCCGGCUCAUGUUUAAAUGAAUUAAAGUAAAUGAAGCUAAACAUUCCAUCCCUCAUCACACUAGCCACAGUUCAGGUACCCAGCAGGUGCAUGUUUACAACACAGAGCAUUUCCAUCCCGACAGACGGCUCUCCUGGGCAGCUGCUCUGAGCCUGGCCCAGGGUGUGCUCAUGGAACCCACCUAACCCACCAUGUGUCCGUCACAGUGGGAAGGUCAGGUUGGUUCGUGCCCAGGUGAGAGCUAUCACGAUCCAGUGCAGCUGGGGAAGUGCCCGGUGAAGGUGGAUCCUUUCUCUCAUUUGCAGGUUUGCAAGGGUGGUCAAUGUCUCCUUGAAGGACUCUGACUCCACCGAGCCCAGGGAAGGUCUGAGGACCCAGAGGAAGGACAGCUGAUGCCGGGUGGGCCAGCAUGGGCUCAGCUGGAGCAGCAGGGACAGGGGAGACCCUCUCUCUAGUACCCUGCUUGCUCAUGCUUGUGUCUGUAAAGAUUGGAUUGUCCACUGAAGAUAUGAUUCGAGCAGCGAGGAUGAAGAACCCCUAGCUACCAAGAUCACACAAUUUUAAAACAAGAAUUAUUCCAUCAGGAAUCUGAUUCCAGAAAUCCUCCUGUCGUGGAUGAAAGAGAAUGUGUCAAGAAAGAAGGGGCAUGGAGUGGAACAGGAGGAGGAAAUGGAGUGCAGAGAGGCAGGAGGAAGUGCAGAAGGCAAUCAAGUGCCCUUCAGGGAACCUGGACGCCCAGGAGCUCGCUGGGGCAGCCCACAAUGCACGUGACCUUGCGGGAGGACCUGAAGGUUAUGGCCACGUGCCACAAGUGAAGGGUGUACUGACAACAUAGCCCAGGGAGCAGAUAGCCAUGCCCUGCCCAGCCCUAACUUUGUUGGGACACUGACUCCUGACUCCACGAACUCCUGGAUUUGGGCGACAGGGCUGGAGGCCCCUGCGGGGCCACAUGGAGCAGGUCACAUUGUGUUCUCUGGGAAAGGUGUCCCUGGAGGGUUCAACAUCUCAGUCCUGCAGGACCCUAUGCUGCCCAACCCUCUCAAGGGAAACAGUGAGCACAUCAGCCACUCAACAAGGUGAGAUAGUGCAGGGUGGGCUGGGUUUUUCCCAGGUCAGGCUCCAGGGGAAAGAGGGAGGAGGACAGAGGCCGGGGGUCUCCCUGUGAAUCAAGGAAGGUGGUUCCCCUGGCUCAGCUCCGCAUCCUCAUGGGCACAGAGCAGCCUGUGUUUAGAUAGGGGCCACAGCAGCCUCCAGUCCGGCCUGGGAGUUUCCCAAGGCCAGUCACCCCCCCAAACCCUUCAGAGUCCUCUGGACGCCCUGGGUCACCUUGUGGCACCAUUUCUCAGACUGGGAUUCUACAGAUUUGUCAUAUAUGCAGAAAAACCAAAGAGAGCAGACAAUUUUGAAGCAAAUUCAAUGCCGUGCUAACUUGGAAUAUGUUAAGGAGUAAGGUUUUCCAGUUACUUACAUUUCUCUUUCCAAUUUUGUAAAUAAAUAUAAGAAAUAGAACUUGUAUUAUA